Molecule: ribosomal RNA, 1425 nt
Filed under: Pseudomonas sp. NFACC04-2
Lineage: Bacteria; Pseudomonadati; Pseudomonadota; Gammaproteobacteria; Pseudomonadales; Pseudomonadaceae
Description: bacterial LSU rRNA
Rfam family: Bacterial large subunit ribosomal RNA
Source: RNAcentral
UGGAAUCUUAGGUAAAUCCGGGAUUCUAAGGCCGAGAGCUGAUGACGAGUUACCCUUUGGGUGACGAAGUGGUUGAUGCCAUGCUUCCAAGAAAAGCUUCUAAGCUUCAGGUAACCAGGAACCGUACCCCAAACCGACACAGGUGGUUGGGUAGAGAAUACCAAGGCGCUUGAGAGAACUCGGGUGAAGGAACUAGGCAAAAUGGCACCGUAACUUCGGGAGAAGGUGCGCCGGUGAGGGUGAAGCACUUGCUGCGUAAGCCCACGCCGGUCGAAGAUACCAGGCCGCUGCGACUGUUUAUUAAAAACACAGCACUCUGCAAACACGAAAGUGGACGUAUAGGGUGUGACGCCUGCCCGGUGCCGGAAGGUUAAUUGAUGGGGUUAGCUAACGCGAAGCUCUUGAUCGAAGCCCCGGUAAACGGCGGCCGUAACUAUAACGGUCCUAAGGUAGCGAAAUUCCUUGUCGGGUAAGUUCCGACCUGCACGAAUGGCGUAACGAUGGCGGCGCUGUCUCCACCCGAGACUCAGUGAAAUUGAAAUCGCUGUGAAGAUGCAGUGUAUCCGCGGCUAGACGGAAAGACCCCGUGAACCUUUACUAUAGCUUUGCACUGGACUUUGAAUUUGCUUGUGUAGGAUAGGUGGGAGGCUUUGAAGCGUGGACGCCAGUUCGCGUGGAGCCAUCCUUGAAAUACCACCCUGGCAACUUUGAGGUUCUAACUCAGGUCCGUUAUCCGGAUCGAGGACAGUGUAUGGUGGGUAGUUUGACUGGGGCGGUCUCCUCCUAAAGAGUAACGGAGGAGUACGAAGGUGCGCUCAGACCGGUCGGAAAUCGGUCGUAGAGUAUAAAGGCAAAAGCGCGCUUGACUGCGAGACAGACACGUCGAGCAGGUACGAAAGUAGGUCUUAGUGAUCCGGUGGUUCUGUAUGGAAGGGCCAUCGCUCAACGGAUAAAAGGUACUCCGGGGAUAACAGGCUGAUACCGCCCAAGAGUUCAUAUCGACGGCGGUGUUUGGCACCUCGAUGUCGGCUCAUCACAUCCUGGGGCUGAAGCCGGUCCCAAGGGUAUGGCUGUUCGCCAUUUAAAGUGGUACGCGAGCUGGGUUUAGAACGUCGUGAGACAGUUCGGUCCCUAUCUGCCGUGGACGUUUGAGAUUUGAGAGGGGCUGCUCCUAGUACGAGAGGACCGGAGUGGACGAACCUCUGGUGUUCCGGUUGUCACGCCAGUGGCAUUGCCGGGUAGCUAUGUUCGGAAAAGAUAACCGCUGAAAGCAUCUAAGCGGGAAACUUGCCUCAAGAUGAGAUCUCACUGGGACCUUGAGUCCCCUGAAGGGCCGUCGAAGACUACGACGUUGAUAGGCAGGGUGUGUAAGCGCUGUGAGGCGUUGAGCUAACCUGUACUAAUUGCCCGUGAGGCUUGACCAUA